This is a long non-coding RNA of Carassius auratus (goldfish), 714 nucleotides long. RefSeq lists it as uncharacterized. The transcript is spliced from 3 exons. The record is from RefSeq and is a predicted model, not a curated record. Lineage: Eukaryota; Metazoa; Chordata; Actinopteri; Cypriniformes; Cyprinidae.
GUCCAACAGAAAGAAAAACACUGAAAAAGUCAUAAGGGUUUGGAACAUCAUAAAGAAUGCUUUCCCCUCUUCAGACCUCUUGACGCCCCGGAGCCAGGAUGUGGGGUUCACUGAUGGCAAACACUCGACAAGCUCCAGCAUUAGCCACAGUCUGACAGAUCUGAAAAUAUCAGACACGGAAGGAAGACAUUCUUCAUUUGAGCACAACAGUGGCAAAGGUGGUGAUUCAUGGCAAACUCUGGAUAUAAACAAGGACUAUCAUGACAGCAAACUCUGCCAGAAUCUCGGCUGUUUAUCAAGAGCAUAUGUGGAGCUGAGCUACAGAAGGCCAAGGCUGACAGCGCACACAUCACAGUCUAUCUGAGGUUUAAUUACUCUCAAAGAGCUGUGUGAAACGUCCACAACCUAACAACAUAAUUACACCAUCAUGGCUCAUUUGAAGGAUAACCACAUGGAAUGAGGAGAUUAUUGGUCCAGAUUUGAUUUGAACUUCAGACAAAUUUCAGAUGGGAAUGUAUUUAAAGGAAUAUUACAUCCCAAAAAUGAGCAUUCUCUCAUGCUCUUCUGUCAUUCCCAGCAUGCAUUGACUUCUUUUGUGUGCCUCCAAAGAGAUCUUUUUAAAGAAUCUUCACUCAGCUUCAUAGCUCAUACUGACUUUACCUGACAAGCCCUAGAAAUAGAAAACAUCAGGACACCUCCAUAAAAAGUACAGCC